This 396-nucleotide long non-coding RNA is filed under the name Ananas comosus (pineapple). RNAcentral describes it as "long non-coding RNA (ACOM_LNC017506)". Lineage: Eukaryota; Viridiplantae; Streptophyta; Magnoliopsida; Poales; Bromeliaceae. The record is from RNAcentral.
AAUUUGCAAUAUAGUAAUUCUCCAAACAACACUACUCAAAAAACACUUCACCAAACUCUCAAACCUCAAUCGAUUCAGUAGCUAAACCAAUUCAAAGAUUUCAAUUCUGCUGCACAGAGAAUCUAUUUGAAAAUUUGCAAUAUAGUAAUUCUCCAAACAACACUACUCAAAAAACACUUCACCAAGCUCUCAAACCUCAAUCGAUUCAGUAGCUAAACCCUCCUGGCUAUUAUAUUGCAUAACUUCCAAAACAAACGCCUCUCACAUGUUCGACGAUAUUCCCCACAGAAUCCUACGACCAAUCGAAUACACAACAAAUAACACCACUUUCACAUUCAAAUCAUAUCCACGAAAACAAUAAAACAACCAACAUCAAUUUCCUCCUGGCCACCAUAU